Molecule: ribosomal RNA, 252 nt
Filed under: uncultured bacterium
Lineage: Bacteria
Description: partial 16S ribosomal RNA
Rfam family: Bacterial small subunit ribosomal RNA
Source: RNAcentral
UACGUAGGCAGCGAGCGUUGUUCGGAGUUACUGGGCGUAAAGGGUGUGUAGGCGGUUCUCUAAGUUUGGUGUGAAAUCUCCCGGCUCAACCGGGAGGGUGCGCCGAAAACUGGAGGGCUAGAGUGCGGGAAGGGAGAGUAGAAUUCCUGGUGUAGCGGUGAAAUGCGUAGAUAUCAGGAGGAAUACCGGUGGUGUAGACGGCUCUCUGGACCGCGACUGACGCUGAGACACGAAAGCGUGGGUAGCAACAGG